UUUUAUUCAUUAAUGGCACAAUAUUAGAAAUGACAAUGAACAUGAGUAUUAAAUUUGGUUGGCAUUAUUGUGUUUUUUUCUUUGCCUGCUCACGACUUGAUUUUUAUUACAUUAAGAGAGAGAUUAAUCAUACAGUAAGGCAUGGAUGAGCUGUAGUGAAACAAAAUUAAAAUCAAAGUCAGUGUUUGAUUCUCUGUCCAGAUUUCUGAAAUCAAAGCACUCAAUUAUAACUAAAACAGCAGCUGUAGAUGUUUUGAAGAAAGUUAACCAGUUUGAUUACCUAGGAUCCUCCUGCCAGAGGUCUCUUGACUCUUUGCUAAUGUGUGAUUUAUAUUCUCUCCAAGGUGAGCUAAGUUUGAGUCUUAAGAAAAAAAUAAAGAGGAAAAAGAGACUAUUUUUAACAAAUCAAUGGUCUCACUUCAGAGGACUGUUUUGUUCUUAAAUAUGAGGCAGUAUCUCAGAGUUGAGAAAUAUCUAGUCCUAAGCCUCAUUCUGCUCUUUGAAAAGGACUCACAAACUGGUAAUUGUAGGGAUAUUUCUUUCAGCUAAAUUAAUUUGAAUGUCAGUCUUGUACUGAUUUCCUGCUUUGUUUUGUAGAAAUUUGUUGGCUAUUUUCCUAAAAGCACAGUAAGUAGAAAGAUGGUUUUAAUCAAAUCAAUGUUUCCCUCUUAAAGAAUCAGUCAUCCCCUGCACAGAUCAUAUAUUCUUACAAAUAAAAGUAAAAUAUUAAAAUUAUGCUAGUAUACAAAUUAUGCUUGAGAUUUGUGUGUUUUCAUAUUAGAUUUUGGAAUUAAAAAAAAUCAAAUCAGUCUCUUAAUCUAUUAAUGGUUCAACAUAAUCCACCUAAAUCCCCAAAUAAUUGUUUACGUAUAGUAUCUGGGAGGUUGUAGAGACCCAGUCAAUCUGACAGACUAACAGUGCUCCCUCCCCUUCGAUCAUGCACUGGGCGUUCAGACAAAAAGAGGAACGAACAGCAGUAAGAUUAGUCAGUGUCUGUAUUUUCCCACAUUAUAAAGGUCAGAUGACUUUAAGAGCUAGAGAGGUAAAUUUUACUUGUUUUAUUUAUUAACCACAUUUUCAGUUGUGAUUCCUCAUUCCUUCUUCCUCUAAAAGAAGAGAAAAUAAUACAGGUUGCCCUCGAGCUAUUAGUCAAGUGACCUACUUUCAGACAUCCCUCUUCUGGGUUAGGCCAACUAUGAUUUUUCCCAGAUGACCAUAUUCUCUUUUAUUCCCAUACAGGCAUUCCUAGAGUUUUAAAAGGAAAUUGUGGAGUUCCUCCAAAAUCUGUGGUCAGAACACAAAUAUUUUGAAAUAGUCUCCUUCCCAGCCUGCUGCAGUGAUCAACAUCACCAAGAGUCCUUUGUAGAAGAGAAUCUUUGAAAGAUUGAAGUCUAGGUCCAUUGCUGACACUCGAAAUAUUCGUAAAUAUGAGAAGGUCAUCACGACACCCACAGGAUGCAGGAAUGGAAAAAGUAUUUUAGAAAGGACAAACUACAUCAUGCACAAAUGGAAAUAAAAGUCCGUAUCUCCUCCCUCGUAGGAGAAGGAACAUCAUCCAGCUGAGGCUGCGACUGGCUCCAGAGGAAUUGAUGUCCCCUGAGGAUGGAUAACAGCACAGCUGUCAAGAGAUACGGCGACUACAGAAAUUUCUGUCUCUCCUUUUGGAGAUAAUUUGAAAAUAUGGCUUCCAUCACUACCUACAUUCGAUAUCUUCAUCUAGUACCAGUGUGAAGAGUCCUAAGUUUCUGUCACAGUAAUUUGUGAAGGGGAACCAGUAUUUGCUUUGCUGGCCCAUGGAGACUUAUGUCUCUGAAAAAACUCUAACCCUGUGCCCCAGCGAUGACCUCUGGAAGGGAAGGCUCACAGAGCACCCAUCACUGCAGCUAGAUGUACCUCUUUGAGGAUAAUUGAUGGCCCAUUUCUGGGCGUUGGUGGAGAGAUUUCCUGCACUGAGGGACAACAUAUUAUUCUGAGAACUAAAACACCUAUUAGGUUAUGGCUAAUGUUAGACAUUCCCACAAGGCUACAGCCUUUCAGCAGAGUUUAUUGGCAAAAUGGAACAAGUAUACACACUAAUGUGCUCCUGGAUGGGGCUCUGAUAUGUGGGCAUGAGGGUGGAGGAAGGGGCUGCUUAGGGAGGUCAGUGUACCCAUGGCC
Non-coding RNA from Manis javanica (Malayan pangolin), 2157 nucleotides. NCBI's taxonomy places the organism in Eukaryota, Metazoa, Chordata, Mammalia, Pholidota, Manidae. The record is from RefSeq and is a predicted model, not a curated record.